RNAcentral lists this ribosomal RNA (235 nucleotides) under uncultured bacterium. RNAcentral describes it as "partial 16S ribosomal RNA". It matches the Rfam family "Bacterial small subunit ribosomal RNA", at positions 100 to 334 of the family's 1533-position model. The record is from RNAcentral.
CCGGCACGGGUGAGUAACACGUAUCCAACCUGCCGUCUACUCUUGACAGCCUUCUGAAGGAAGAUUAAUACAAGAUGGCAUCAUGAGUCCGCAUGUUCACAUGAUUAAAGGUAUUCCGGUAGACGAUGGGGAUGCGUUCCAUUAGAUAGUAGGCGGGGUAACGGCCCACCUAGUCUUCGAUGGAUAGGGGUUCUGAGAGGAAGGUCCCCCACAUUGGAACUGAGACACGGUCCAA